This is a small nucleolar RNA of 146 nucleotides. Its record names the gene U8. It matches the Rfam family "U8 small nucleolar RNA". From Rfam's summary of the family: U8 is a member of the C/D class of snoRNA which contain the C (UGAUGA) and D (CUGA) box motifs. U8 is the RNA component of a small complex (the U8 snoRNP) which is required for accumulation of mature large subunit ribosomal RNAs, 5.8S and 28S rRNAs. The record is from Ensembl.
UCAUCUGUAAGUGCAAUGGAAAGCCAUUGGGGAUUUUAGCAUAGUUGUAACAUGAUACCAGAACAUGAUGAUUGGAGCUUGCAUAAUUCGUGAUUAACGGCUCUGCGUAAUCAGUACUUGCAACACACUGAUUGCUCCUAUCUGAU